CUUCGAGCAAGCAAGAUUGGUAAAUGAGAAGAAACUUGAUUUGGGACCAAGUUUGUGGUACUCAGCAAGAGAAGAUCAGCAAAUACUGAACCCCUUGCAUUCAAAUCCAAACAUCAGUAACUACAGUUGCACCGUGCAUACUGUACAGUAGACGACAGAUAUCUUCAAAUAAUUUCAGAAGGCUGAGGGAUGACGAGUGUAGUUUAUGUGAAUUUGUGCCUCUUUUGGGGAACAUGGUGUCCGUUGAAUCACUGCAGUUAUGUUUUGUCAUGAAAACCAAAGAGUACUCCAGAAGGAUUAAUGAUAUAUUGUGAAGAUCAAGUAAGGUUUCUCAAGGGGUGUGCACUAAGAGAUAUUGAAGACUUUGUGCAACUCCGUUUAAUGUGUUUGGGAAUUUCAUAUUCUCACCCAGUCAUAUCACCCUCCAGGAUAUCAUCACUCCUCUUCUUUUUUAUACCGCAGCUCCUUAAAAGCGGCUCCAGAUUUUCAAGGAAUAUUGGAAAGGUGGAAGCCUGGAAUCUCAUUGGAUGUGACCUCUUUGCUGUAGGCCAAAUUGAGGUCUCUUUCUUGUCACUCAGUUCAUUAUGUUUAGGAUUUGACAUCCUUAAUUAAGAAACUUCGACUCAAUUCGUCAAUCACUUCUAUUGUUCGUAAUACUCUAGCUUCUG
Rosa chinensis is the source of this 668-nucleotide RNA transcript. RefSeq lists it as uncharacterized. Lineage: Eukaryota; Viridiplantae; Streptophyta; Magnoliopsida; Rosales; Rosaceae. The transcript is spliced from 4 exons. The record is from RefSeq and is a predicted model, not a curated record.